UCACGAUGAACUGAAUUAUUAGCUAUGUCAAUAGCUGCUUUGUUGUCACAGUAUAGCAUCGGGGUCCAUUCUCAAACAAUCAUUCUUCAGUUAGAAGAAUCUGCAGCCACAGCAGCUCACACACACGUGAGCCAUAGCACGAAACUAUGCACCGGAACGAGAGCGGUUUGGUUGUGACCCGCCGUCGAACACCUGGUGGGUGCCACCAGUUGAAGCCCCGUGGUCGCGAUGGGAAUGGCAACAGAUGCAUCCCGUGGUGAAGAGGAGGUCGGGGAAGCUGAGCAGGAUGCUGUCGCUGGCUUGUUGGAUCUCG
RNAcentral lists this long non-coding RNA (313 nucleotides) under Setaria italica (foxtail millet). RNAcentral describes it as "long non-coding RNA (SITA_LNC001786)". The record is from RNAcentral. Lineage: Eukaryota; Viridiplantae; Streptophyta; Magnoliopsida; Poales; Poaceae.